Molecule: ribosomal RNA, 279 nt
Filed under: uncultured bacterium
Lineage: Bacteria
Description: partial 16S ribosomal RNA
Rfam family: Bacterial small subunit ribosomal RNA
Source: RNAcentral
UGCCAGCCGCCGCGGUAAUACGGAGGGGGUUAGCGUUGUUCGGAAUUACUGGGCGUAAAGCGCGCGUAGGCGGUUUGUUAAGUCGGCUGUGAAAGCCCCGGGCUCAACCUGGGAAUUGCAGUCGAUACUGACCGACUAGAGUACGAGAGAGGGAGGUAGAAUUCCACGUGUAGCGGUGAAAUGCGUAGAUAUGUGGAGGAAUACCGGUGGCGAAGGCGGCCUCCUGGCUCGAUACUGACGCUGAGGUGCGAAAGCGUGGGGAGCAAACAGGAUUAGAUA